Cervus hanglu yarkandensis (Yarkand deer) is the source of this 124-nucleotide small nuclear RNA. NCBI's taxonomy places the organism in Eukaryota, Metazoa, Chordata, Mammalia, Artiodactyla, Cervidae. The record is from Ensembl.
GUAUUGUAUGAGAGGGGAGAAGGUUAGCACUCCCUUGACAGAACUGGAAGAGGCCCUUGGGCCUGACAACACCCACACGGUUAAGGCAUUGCCACCUAUUCGUGGCAUCUAACCACUGCUUUUG